Molecule: long non-coding RNA, 456 nt
Filed under: Actinidia chinensis (golden kiwifruit)
Lineage: Eukaryota; Viridiplantae; Streptophyta; Magnoliopsida; Ericales; Actinidiaceae
Description: long non-coding RNA (ACHI_LNC000319)
Source: RNAcentral
AAAUAUCUCUGGUUAAAUUUCCAAGAAACCCUCUCAUUUUGCAAAAUUAGGAGUUAACCCAAUUGAUCCAAAUUUCACAGAUUCGAGAUUAUCCUUUCAUUUUUCUUCUCUCUUUUUUCGCGUUUCUCUUCCUUUCUCCUCUCUCUGCAAUCCAAAAGGUUGAUUAGGGACGAGUGCAGUCCUUUUCUUGCCUUUUCUCGCCAAAUCAUGCCAUCCAAACGGACUUAAGUCCUCAGUUCUUAUAAGCCAAGGUAUCAAUAUCUUCUGGUAGUGAAGAAGAUGAAAAGCAAAAACAUCAGAUGGAGCUUUCAAUUCCUUACAGCUCUCCUUGUUGGGUUUUUAUUCUUAAAGAUCUUUUACGCAGCCAGUGAGAAUAAAAAUCUGGUAUAGAUCAGAAGCCGAGAAAUAGCACCGGUGAGAAUAAAAAUCUGGUAUAUGAUCAGAAACCGAUAAAUA